GAAGUCCAAAUAAUGACUUAGACCCAGACGAAUGUAUGCAGCGCACUGGUGGCCUUUUUGGUUCUAGAAGACCAGCAUUAAGUGGCACAGGAAAUGGUGAUACUUCUCAAAGCAGAAGUGGCAGUGGAAGUGAACGAGGUAAGUUCUUAUUUUGUUUACCUGAAAGAAGUUAAAAUCAUUGUAUUCCAAAUUUAAUUUUUUUCUAUACUUCACUGGUUGGAAACAAAUUUAAUUUUUGAAGUUAAAGGUAACUGUUAUUGCUUUUAUACACUGUGAGGACCAUAAAUUUACACAGCCUGUUUUAGAUAGUUCCUUAAUACCCUCCAGGUUAUUGCCUCUCUGAUCCAGCAAUUCCAUUAUAGGAAUUAUAUACUAUAGAUAUAUUUGCAAAUACAUGUACAAGGAUGUUCACUGAGAUGUCAUUUAUAAUAAGUAAAAACUGAAAAUCACCUAAAAUUCAUAAAUAGAAAACUGUUUAAGUCCGGG
This 486-nucleotide small RNA is filed under the name Pongo abelii (Sumatran orangutan). Its description in RNAcentral is "retained intron". The record is from RNAcentral. Lineage: Eukaryota; Metazoa; Chordata; Mammalia; Primates; Hominidae.